AAGUUUUUACAAACGCAGACAGUGGAUGCCUUGGUGUAACCUACCGAAGAAGGACGUACAUGGUCGCGAUAGUCGUCGGGGAGCUGCCACGAAGCUUUGAUCCGACGGUGUCCGAAUGGGGAAACCCAGCCAGUUUUACUGGCUACGCCAGAGCCAAGAUGUCUUGCACAGUGUGCAUAAAACUGGAAUCUACAAAUCUACAAAUUUCAAAUCUGCAAAUAAAUAUACAAAUGAUUAAAUGAAUUAAAUCAUUUAAAAAUUAAAACAUUUAUUUGCUUAUUAUGAACUUGCUUAUUUGCUUAUUCCAGAGUUUGUGCCUGCUAUGCAGGACAUAUAACUCUGGUUGUGGAAACCACCUGAACUGAAACAUCUAAGUAAGGUGAGGAAAAGAAAUCAACGAGAUUGCCUAAGUAGCGGCGAGCGAAAUGGCAAGAGCCUAAACUCGCCUUGUGCGUUGCACAAGAACGAUAAUCUACAAAUCUACAAAUUUCAAAUCUGCAAAUAAAUAUACAAAUGAUUAAAUGAAUUAAAUCAUUUAAAAAUUAAAACAUUUAUUUGUAAUUUGCUUAUUUGUUUAUUUGCUUAUUGUAGUUCUCGCGCAGCGCGCGAGGUGGGGGUUGCGGGACUCUAAUAUGGGAGUGAUUGAAGUAGCAGAAUGGCAUGGAAUUGCCAACCAUAGAUAGUGAAAGUCUAGUAUGCGAAAUUUCAAUCACCCCUAGGAGUAUCCCAAGUACCACGAAGCACGUGUCUUUGUGGGAAUCUAGGGGAACCAUCCUCUAAGGCUAAAUAUAGGUUGCAACCGAUAGUGAACUAGUACCGCGAGGGAAAGGUGAAAA
RNAcentral lists this ribosomal RNA (836 nucleotides) under Candidatus Woesebacteria bacterium RIFOXYD1_FULL_40_21. Its description in RNAcentral is "bacterial LSU rRNA". It matches the Rfam family "Bacterial large subunit ribosomal RNA", at positions 1 to 520 of the family's 2925-position model. Lineage: Bacteria; Candidatus Woeseibacteriota. The record is from RNAcentral.